RNAcentral lists this ribosomal RNA (460 nucleotides) under uncultured bacterium. RNAcentral describes it as "partial 16S ribosomal RNA". It matches the Rfam family "Bacterial small subunit ribosomal RNA", at positions 338 to 795 of the family's 1533-position model. The record is from RNAcentral.
CCUACGGGAGGCAGCAGUGAGGAAUAUUGGUCAAUGGGCGGAAGCCUGAACCAGCCAAGUAGCGUGCAGGAUGACGGCCCUACGGGUUGUAAACUGCUUUUAUACGGGAAUAACGCGCCUUACGUGUAGUGCUUUGCAUGUACCGUAUGAAUAAGGACCGGCUAAUUCCGUGCCAGCAGCCGCGGGAAUACGGAGGGUGCGGGCGUUAUCCGGAUUUAUUGGGUGUAAAGGGAGUGUAGGCCGCAUGCCAAGGGUGCUGUGAAAUGUCCGGGCUCAACCCGGGGCUUGCAGCGGAAACUGGAGUUCUUGAGUCCGCGGAAGGCAGGCGGAAUUCGUCGUGUAGCGGUGAAAUGCUUAGAUAUGACGAGGAACCCCGAUUGCGAAGGCAGCUUGCUGGAGCGGAACUGACGCUGAUGCUCGAAAGCGCGGGUAUCGAACAGGAUUAGAUACCCCGGUAGUC